GUGCUCACUUCGGCAGCACAAAUACUAAAAUUGGAACAAUACAGAGAUUAGCAUGGCCACUGCGCGCAAGGAUGACAUGCAAAUUCGUGAAGCAUUCCAUAUUUAA
Small nuclear RNA from Nomascus leucogenys (northern white-cheeked gibbon), 106 nucleotides. NCBI's taxonomy places the organism in Eukaryota, Metazoa, Chordata, Mammalia, Primates, Hylobatidae. The record is from Ensembl.